CCCAGCUUGCUGGGUGGAUCAGUGGCGAACGGGUGAGUAACACGUGAGCAACCUGCCCCUGACUCUGGGAUAAGCGCUGGAAACGGCGUCUAAUACUGGAUACGAGUAGCGACCGCAUGGUCAGUUACUGGAAAGAUUUAUUGGUUGGGGAUGGGCUCGCGGCCUAUCAGCUUGUUGGUGAGGUAAUGGCUCACCAAGGCGUCGACGGGUAGCCGGCCUGAGAGGGUGACCGGCCACACUGGGACUGAGACACGGCCCAGACUCCUACGGGAGGCAGCAGUGGGGAAUAUUGCACAAUGGGCGCAAGCCUGAUGCAGCAACGCCGCGUGAGGGAUGACGGCCUUCGGGUUGUAAACCUCUUUUAGCAGGGAAGAAGCGAAAGUGACGGUACCUGCAGAAAAAGCGCCGGCUAACUACGUGCCAGCAGCCGCGGUAAUACGUAGGGCGCAAGCGUUAUCCGGAAUUAUUGGGCGUAAAGAGCUCGUAGGCGGUUUGUCGCGUCUGCUGUGAAAUCCGGAGGCUCAACCUCCGGCCUGCAGUGGGUACGGGCAGACUAGAGUGCGGUAGGGGAGAUUGGAAUUCCUGGUGUAGCGGUGGAAUGCGCAGAUAUCAGGAGGAACACCGAUGGCGAAGGCAGAUCUCUGGGCCGU
Molecule: ribosomal RNA, 650 nt
Filed under: Microbacterium phyllosphaerae
Lineage: Bacteria; Bacillati; Actinomycetota; Actinomycetes; Micrococcales; Microbacteriaceae
Description: bacterial SSU rRNA
Rfam family: Bacterial small subunit ribosomal RNA
Source: RNAcentral